This is a long non-coding RNA of Peromyscus leucopus (white-footed mouse), 729 nucleotides long. RefSeq lists it as uncharacterized. The record is from RefSeq and is a predicted model, not a curated record. The transcript is spliced from 5 exons. Lineage: Eukaryota; Metazoa; Chordata; Mammalia; Rodentia; Cricetidae.
AGGCAGAUUUCAAAGCAUCGGCUGAAACCAUGAAACUCAUUCUUUAGUGAACAGACUACCAGGUACAUAAUUCUCUGUGUCCCGAGGGAGUCAGAGCAGGGUCAAAAGAAUGACCCAUGGUGAACAAUGCCUUGAGGAACCAUGAGAGAGGCUCCAGGAAAAAGGCAGAAAUCCUUUUACCUCAGUCAUCAAUAGUCAAUGAGAAGCGAGCCGGCCUUUUUGGAAAUGCGUUGCUGCCAGCUUCAUCCUGAGACUUGCUCCAAUUAGUGGCUCCAAUGCUUCUUAGAGGCACCAGUCAGCUCCCCAUAUGAGGACAAAAAUUCUUCACGCAACUUGGUGGAGUCCUCAUGCCGUGGAAACCCUAACUAAGACAAAACCUUAUAUACUACAACCUGAAAACAUUGUUACAAAUGGCUACUGGGGGAAGGACAUUAAUUCCAGAAUCCUGAGCAGUAUGUGUUACUUCCGUCAUGCUGAACCGAUAAAAUCAGGUUUGUUUUCCAGUGUCUUCUUUUCCUUCCUUUUUCUCAGCAACACUAUUUUUUCUCAUGUCUUGAUAUUAUAGGGUGCAUUUAUCGGUAUAUUCAUUUUCUUUGUGUCUGUCUUCUCUAAUAGAGUAUAAACUAUAAGAGGGAAGGAUUUUGUCCAAUCAGUUAAAAAAAUCUGUUCCAUGUUUAGCAUGAUAUCUGAAAGUAAGAGUGGUAGCUUAACACAUUUUUUUGGUAACGU